GAGGAUCAUUAUUGAAUUACAGGCGAGGGUUGUCGCUGGCCUCUCGGGGCAUGUGCACGCCCGAGCCAUCCCCAACAAACACCGUGGGCCUUCGGGCCUGCGUAUAUUUACUCUGAAUGUGUAUAGAAUGUAAACCAUUUGUUUGCCCUGAAAAAGCAAACGAAAAAAAGUACAACUUUCAACAACGGAUCUCUUGGCUCUCGCAUCGAUGAAGAACGCAGCGAAAUGCGAUAAGUAAUGUGAAUUGCAGAUUUUCAGUGAAUCAUCGAAUCUUUGAACGCACCUUGCGCCCCUUGGUAUUCCGAGGGGCAUGCCUGUUUGAGUGUCAUUAAAUCCUCAACCGCGCCGAUUGAUUUCGGUGGGGCUUGGACUUGGAGCGUGCUGGCGAAGGUCGGCUCCUCUUUAAAUGCAUCAGCGGAAGAAACCUUUGUCUUUCCUGCCUUCGGUGUGAUAAUCGUGUUGCGCCGUGGUGGAACUUCAACGAUCCGCUUACAAUGGUCUUCGGACAAAACCUCAUGUCAUCUUGACCUCAAAUCAGGUAGGACUACCCGCUGAACUUAAGCAUAUCAAUAAGCGGAGGAAAAGAAACUAACAAGGAUUCCCCUAGUAACUGCGAGUGAAGCGGGAAGAGCUCAAAUUUAAAAUCUGGUGGUCCUCGCGGCCGUCCGAGUUGUAAUCUGGAGAAGCGUUUUCCG
This 695-nucleotide ribosomal RNA is filed under the name uncultured Tylospora. RNAcentral describes it as "eukaryotic LSU rRNA". The stretch from base 174 to 328 matches the Rfam family "5.8S ribosomal RNA". Lineage: Eukaryota; Fungi; Basidiomycota; Agaricomycetes; Atheliales; Atheliaceae. The record is from RNAcentral.